AGUGAACGCUGGCGGUAGGCCUAACACAUGCAAGUCGAACGGCAGCACAGUAAGAGCUUGCUCUUACGGGUGGCGAGUGGCGGACGGGUGAGGAAUACAUCGGAAUCUACUUUUUCGUGGGGGAUAACGUAGGGAAACUUACGCUAAUACCGCAUACGACCUACGGGUGAAAGCAGGGGAUCUUCGGACCUUGCGCGAUUGAAUGAGCCGAUGUCGGAUUAGCUAGUUGGCGGGGUAAAGGCCCACCAAGGCGACGAUCCGUAGCUGGUCUGAGAGGAUGAGCGGCACAAUGGGACCGAAGACAGGGUCCGGACUCGUACGGGAGGCAGCAGUGGGAAAUUUUGAACAAUGGGGGAAAGCCUGUCCCAGCCAAACCGCGUGGGGAAGGAAGCCCUUGGGUUUGAAAACCCCUUUUGUUGGAAAGAAAAGCAGCAGGUUAAUACCCCGCUGUUCUGACGGUACCCAAAGAAUAAGCACCGGCUAACUUCGUG
This 491-nucleotide ribosomal RNA is filed under the name uncultured bacterium. RNAcentral's name for it is "partial 16S ribosomal RNA". It matches the Rfam family "Bacterial small subunit ribosomal RNA", at positions 29 to 507 of the family's 1533-position model. The record is from RNAcentral.